This 461-nucleotide long non-coding RNA is filed under the name Mytilus galloprovincialis (Mediterranean mussel). The record is from RNAcentral. Lineage: Eukaryota; Metazoa; Mollusca; Bivalvia; Mytilida; Mytilidae.
GCCGGGCAUAUACUGGUUUUGGAUGAUUUUGGCAAUCAUUGGAACUGCUAUGUUGCCAUGGAUACUACACCAAAAAUUUCCGAAAUAUGGAAAUGCUCCAAAUUUUAUGAAACUUCACAGUAACGAUGAGCAACAUUGGUAAAUGUGGAAUUUGGCGUUGCAAUUUCGAAAAUGUCUGCCGUUACCAUGGAAACAAUGCAAAACAGGUCAAAAUGGUCCAAAAACCUUAAAGUGGCAUUUACUUUCUUAAAAUGGUAGGUCAAAUUGAUCGAAACUUUGAUGGUAUGGUCCCUCCCAUGUACCAAUGUGGUAUAUGCCAUUAAAUUUUGGGAAUGGUCUCUGUUGCCAUAGGAACCAUCACAAAUGUCAAAAAUUUCAAAAAUUUCAAAAUGCUCCAAAAUUGAUGAAACUUAAUAUGAUUGUAGACUGUCAAGUCUGCAUGAGACUUUUGAAGUUGGAAU